Molecule: ribosomal RNA, 377 nt
Filed under: uncultured bacterium
Lineage: Bacteria
Description: bacterial SSU rRNA
Rfam family: Bacterial small subunit ribosomal RNA
Source: RNAcentral
AUACGUAGGGGGCGAGCGUUGUCCGGAUUUACUGGGUGUAAAGGGCGAGUAGGCGGGAUUGCAAGUCAGAUGUGAAAACUAUCGGCUUAACUGGUAGCGUGCAUUUGAAACUGCGGUUCUUGAGUGAUGGAGAGGCAGGCGGAAUUCCUAGUGUAGCGGUGAAAUGCGUAGAUAUUAGGAGGAACACCAGUGGCGAAGGCGGCCUGCUGGACAUUAACUGACGCUGAGGCGCGAAAGCGUGGGGAGCAAACAGGAUUAGAUACCCUGGUAGUCCACGCCGUAAACGAUGGAUACUAGGUGUGGGGGGUACUGACCCCUUCCGUGCCGGAGUUAACACAAUAAGUAUCCCACCUGGGGAGUACGGCCGCAAGGUUGAA